Molecule: ribosomal RNA, 870 nt
Filed under: Thermodesulfovibrionales bacterium
Lineage: Bacteria; Pseudomonadati; Nitrospirota; Thermodesulfovibrionia; Thermodesulfovibrionales
Description: bacterial SSU rRNA
Rfam family: Bacterial small subunit ribosomal RNA
Source: RNAcentral
UUUAAUGAGAGUUUGAUCCUGGCUCAGAACGAACGCUGGCGGCGUGCCUAACACAUGCAAGUCGAACGGAGUCAUUUUGAAGUAGCAAUACGGAAGAAUGACUUAGUGGCGCACGGGUGAGUAACACGUAGGUAACCUGCCCUUAAGAGGGGGAAAACCCGCCGAAAGGCGAGCUAAUACCGCAUAAGACCACGAACUGAGAUGUUUGUGGUAAAAGGAGCAAUCCACUUAAGGAUGGGCCUGCGGCCUAUCAGGUAGUUGGUGAGGUAACGGCUCACCAAGCCUAAGACGGGUAGCCGGUCUGAGAGGACGGACGGCCACACUGGAACUGAGACACGGUCCAGACUCCUACGGGAGGCAGCAGUGGGGAAUUUUGCACAAUGGGCGAAAGCCUGAUGCAGCGACGCCGCGUGGAGGAUGAAGGCCUUCGGGUUGUAAACUCCUUUUGUAGGGGAAAAUAAUGAUGGUACCCUGCGAAUAAGCCACGGCUAACUCUGUGCCAGCAGCCGCGGUAAGACAGAGGUGGCAAGCGUUGUUCGGAAUUACUGGGCUUAAAGGGCGCGUAGGCGGUAAGAUAAGUCUGUGGUGAAAUCCUAUGGCUUAACCAUAGAAUUGCCAUGGAAACUAUUUUACUUGAGUCAGCGAGGGGAUGGUGGAAUUCCUGGUGUAGCAGUGAAAUGCGUAGAUAUCCGGAGGAAGGCCGGUGGCGAAGGCGGCCAUCUGGCGCUGAACUGACGCUGAGGCGCGAAAGCGUGGGUAGCAAACAGGAUUAGAUACCCUGGUAGUCCACGCCCUAAACGGUGGGUACUAGGUGUGGGUGGCGACCGUCAUCUGUGCCGAAGGGAAACCAUUAAGUACCCCGCCUGGGGA